AGUGAACGCUGGCGGUAGGCCUAACACAUGCAAGUCGAACGGCAGCACAGUAAGAGCUUGCUCUUACGGGUGGCGAGUGGCGGACGGGUGAGGAAUACAUCGGAAUCUACUUUUUCGUGGGGGAUAACGUAGGGAAACUUACGCUAAUACCGCAUACGACCUACGGGUGAAAGCAUGGGAUCUUCGGACCUUGCGCGAUUGAAUGAGCCGAUGUCGGAUUAGCUAGUUGGCGGGGUAAAGGCCCACCAAGGCGACGAUCCGUAGCUGGUCUGAGAGGAUGAUCAGCCACACUGGAACUGAGACACGGUCCAGACUCCUACGGGAGGCAGCAGUGGGGAAUAUUGGACAAUGGGCGCAAGCCUGAUCCAGCCAUACCGCGUAGGUGAAGAAGGCCUUCGGGUUGUAAAGCCCUUUUGUUGGGAAAGAAAAGCAGCAGGUUAAUACCCCGCUGUUCUGACGGUACCCAAAGAAUAAGCACCGGCUAACUUCGUG
Molecule: ribosomal RNA, 492 nt
Filed under: uncultured bacterium
Lineage: Bacteria
Description: partial 16S ribosomal RNA
Rfam family: Bacterial small subunit ribosomal RNA
Source: RNAcentral